This 293-nucleotide ribosomal RNA is filed under the name uncultured Desulfobulbus sp. RNAcentral's name for it is "partial 16S ribosomal RNA". It matches the Rfam family "Bacterial small subunit ribosomal RNA", at positions 1089 to 1382 of the family's 1533-position model. The record is from RNAcentral. Lineage: Bacteria; Pseudomonadati; Thermodesulfobacteriota; Desulfobulbia; Desulfobulbales; Desulfobulbaceae.
GCAACGAGCGCAACCCUUGCCUUUAGUUGCCAGCAGUUCGGCUGGGCACUCUAAAGGGACUGCCGGUGUUAAACCGGAGGAAGGUGGGGAUGACGUCAAGUCCUCAUGGCCUUUAUGACCAGGGCUACACACGUACUACAAUGGCCGAUACAAAGGGCAGCGACACUGCGAGGUGAAGCCAAUCCCGUAAAAUCGGUCUCAGUCCGGAUUGGAGUCUGCAACUCGACUCCAUGAAGUUGGAAUCGCUAGUAAUCGUGGAUCAGCAUGCCACGGUGAAUACGUUCCCGGGCCUU